AUUGAACGCUGGCGGAAUGCUUUACACAUGCAAGUCGAACGGCAGCACGGGAGCUUGCUCCUGGUGGCGAGUGGCGAACGGGUGAGUAACAUAUCGGAACGUACCCCGUCGUGGGGGAUAACUAUCCGAAAGGAUAGCUAAUACCGCAUACGUCCUGAGGGAGACAGCGGGGGAUCGCGAGACCUCGCGCGAUUGGAGCGGCCGCUAUCGGAUUAGCUAGUUGGUGGGGUAAAGGCUCACCACGGCGACGAUCCGUAUCGGGUGUGAGAGGAGGAGCCGCCACACUGGAACUGAGACACGGUCCAGAGUCCUACGGGAGGGAGCAGUGGGGAAUUGUGGACAAAGGGGGCAAACAUGAUCCAGCCAUCCCGCGUGAGAGAAGAAGGCCUUCGGGUUGUAAAGCUCUUUCAGCAGGAACGAAACGGUCGGCUUUAAGAAAAUCGGCUAAUGACGGUACCUGCAGAAGAAGCACCGGCUAACUACGUG
Molecule: ribosomal RNA, 486 nt
Filed under: uncultured bacterium
Lineage: Bacteria
Description: partial 16S ribosomal RNA
Rfam family: Bacterial small subunit ribosomal RNA
Source: RNAcentral